AGGGAAUCUUCGGCAAUGGACGGAAGUCUGACCGAGCAACGCCGCGUGAGUGAAGAAGGUUUUCGGAUCGUAAAGCUCUGUUGUAAGAGAAGAACGAGUGUGAGAGUGGAAAGUUCACACUGUGACGGUAUCUUACCAGAAAGGGACGGCUAACUACGUGCCAGCAGCCGCGGUAAUACGUAGGUCCCGAGCGUUAUCCGGAUUUAUUGGGCGUAAAGCGAGCGCAGGCGGUUAGAUAAGUCUGAAGUUAAAGGCUGUGGCUUAACCAUAGUACGCUUUGGAAACUGUUUAACUUGAGUGCAAGAGGGGAGAGUGGAAUUCCAUGUGUAGCGGUGAAAUGCGUAGAUAUAUGGAGGAACACCGGUGGCGAAAGCGGCUCUCUGGCUUGUAACUGACGCUGAGGCUCGAAAGCGUGGGGAGCAAACAGGAUUAGAUACCCUGGUAGUCCACGCCGUAAACGAUGAGUGCCAGGUGUUAGACCCUUUCCGGGGUUUAGUGCCGUAGCUAACGCAUUAAGCACUCCGCCUGGGGAGUACGACCGCAAGGUUG
RNAcentral lists this ribosomal RNA (549 nucleotides) under uncultured bacterium. Its description in RNAcentral is "bacterial SSU rRNA". It matches the Rfam family "Bacterial small subunit ribosomal RNA", at positions 356 to 896 of the family's 1533-position model. The record is from RNAcentral.